CCCCUACCAUGCGCUAUUUGGGCGGCCGGCUUACGCCCGGUUCAUGGCUCGCCCAUGCUAUGUUUACCUUAAACUCAAGAUGUCUGGUCCUAAGGGACCCAUCACGGUUGACGGUGAUAGAAGGAUUGCAAAGGAAUGUGAAGAGGGGGACGCGGCUUAAGCGGAAGUCGCCUGCGCUGCACAGGAGCUCAAAUAUCAUCGGGCCAAUGUUGAUCCGGCUGACAUGUCACCCUUAAAGAAGCCAACGACAGAUGCUGAGCCGCCCCUCAAGUUCAAACCAACGGAUGACACUAAAACGGUUGAUUUCGUUCCUGGC
RNAcentral lists this long non-coding RNA (316 nucleotides) under Hordeum vulgare. RNAcentral's name for it is "long non-coding RNA (HVUL_LNC019147)". Lineage: Eukaryota; Viridiplantae; Streptophyta; Magnoliopsida; Poales; Poaceae. The record is from RNAcentral.